RNAcentral lists this ribosomal RNA (497 nucleotides) under uncultured bacterium. RNAcentral describes it as "partial 16S ribosomal RNA". It matches the Rfam family "Bacterial small subunit ribosomal RNA", at positions 28 to 507 of the family's 1533-position model. The record is from RNAcentral.
GACGAACGCUGGCGGCGUGCCUAAUACAUGCAAGUUGAGCGCUGAAGGUUGGUACUUGUACCAACUGGAUGAGCAGCGAACGGGUGAGUAACGCGUGGGGAAUCUGCCUUUGAGCGGGGGACAACAUUUGGAAACGAAUGCUAAUACCGCAUAAAAACUUUAAACACAAGUUUUAAGUUUGAAAGAUGCAAUUGCAUCACUCAAAGACGAUCCCGCGUUGUAUUAGCUAGUUGGUGAGGUAAAGGCUCACCAAGGCGAUGAUACAUAGCCGACCUGAGAGGGUGGUCGGCCACAUUGGGACUGAGACACGGCCCAAACUCCUACGGGAGGCAGCAGUAGGGAAUCUUCGGCAAUGGACGAAAGUCUGACCGAGCAACGCCGCGUGAGUGAAGAAGGUUUUCGGAUCGUAAAACUCUGUUGGUAGAGAAGAACGUUGGUGAGAGUGGAAAGCUCAUCAAGUGACGGUAACUACCCAGAAAGGGACGGCUAACUACGUG